RNAcentral lists this long non-coding RNA (1080 nucleotides) under Olea europaea subsp. europaea. The record is from RNAcentral. Lineage: Eukaryota; Viridiplantae; Streptophyta; Magnoliopsida; Lamiales; Oleaceae.
CAAAGACCUGGGAAAAAAGCGUCAUUCCUAAAUUUCUCCCCAUUUCCCCCAAAAGUAAUAGUCCCCAAGAGACUCCCUCAACAAUUUGGCCCCAAAAUUUGAUUCUCCCAUGUGACUCCCUCCGAUGAAAACUAUCCGGCCCGAAGUGGCUCCCUCCGACGACAACACGGUGACCCCAAAAUCUGAGAAAUUGUAGUGACUCCCUUCGACAACAAUCCGAGUAGCAUUCAACAAGAAAUCAGGCAACCUCACCAAAGCCCGACUUUAUCCAUCUCCAAUGACAGACGAAGGUAAUCUCUUUCUUGGGUAUAAUGUACUCUUGAUGCAUCCCUGUAUUUUGUAACAUGUGAAUACGUAGAAGGGUUCUAGAAAUGACAAAUUUGUUUCGAUUACCAGAACUACAUGUGAUAAUUUUUUCUCAUAAAGUGGAUUUUUUUAUGCUUAUCUCACUUGAAGGCUGUUGUUAAUUAAAAUUUAAUUUUACUUCGUUACGAACUAAAUUGUCUUAUUAAUGAUUGUUGUGUGAUAAUUAAAAAUAUUGUUUAGCUUUAUCUAUCAUGGUGACCUUUUCGGCUCAAUUUCAUCAAUUUUGUAUUGGUUUCAUCCAGUCAAAAUUAUCCACACUCAGAAUUGGAGUUGAUGAUGAAUUUUAUGGACUUAGACCUGUUUUUGAGUUAUAUGACAUUUAAUUUUGCAAUGCAGGUUUCGUGUAUCUUUUGUUUCAAGAUUUUCUUUGUUUGAAUGAGUAUAUUUGCAAGCACCAAUCACAGUUGAAGCUCCCCACAUGAGAUGGAUGUUGAGAAAUUGUGAUGAAUAGAAGCAAUCAAAGCUUAAGCAAAGAUGAUAAAAUGGUGAUCAGAAGCAGCCAAAGCCCCCUAAUAUUUUGCUUUUGUUCUUGAGUUAGAUCAUUUUAGAAGCUUUUUGAUAAAUGUGAGAGUUUGUAUUGUGUUUUUUUUGGUUUUUGGCAUCUUCGAAAAUCUGUGGUAAAUGAUUAUGUUUGUAUCAUGCAUUGUCAUUACAAUUGAUUUUUCGGAUGUUAAAUUUCUUGAAGUUAUUGAAUCGAAAAUAUUGCGGCUAGUA